CAUUCUUCUCUAGAAGUCAAAAGUUAAAAAAAUAAAACUUUGCCUUAGGUGAAAGCCCACAAAUAAAAAAGAAGUAUCUACUCUGACUAACCAAUACACUUACAAAACUAAGAUAGUUAUCAAAAGCUAAUUAAAGUAAUCUUUAUCAACAGAUCAUAACAAGCAGCAAUGUCUACUGGACAACUAAGAAAAUGAUUCAGAAUCCUGAAUCCAGAAAGUUUCUGAAGGCCAACUACUUUAGUUUGUCAUGAAAUUAGAUGCCUUUUUAAAUAUAUUGAUUGACCAGCUUUUUUCAAUCCAAUUAAAUAACAAAAAAUUAACUUUAUCAACCAGAAUAAAUGUGAAAGUUUCAGACUUAGCUUAUGCUAAUCUAAUUAUAAAUUUUGCAACAUAUAAGUUACUAUGAGAAGAACAUCUAAUGUAUAGAUAUAAUAAUGUAUCUGUUAUACAUUGCUAAGUAGUAAUUAUAUUCUCAGCAACUUUGCAAAGCUUAAUAAGUUUCUAGCAUUUUACAAACAUACAUACAUAAAUAUCCCUUAAGUAUAUUCUAUAAUUUUAAUAAAUCACUCUUAAAUUAAAAAUUACUGUUGGGGUCAAUACACAUAUUUAUAUUAUUUCAUAUUAACUUGUAAAAUAAAUAUUAGUCAAAUUGCUCUACUUCAGAAAGCUAAAAUUACAUGCUUUCAUAUAGCUGUAGAACCCUAAAAAUUCAAAAACAUUGUAGUUUGUCUAAAUCAGUAUCAAUGGCAACCUAUUUGAAAGAUAUCCAAUGCCCAUUCCCAAAAAAGGUAUUUCCAUUUAAAGGUUAUUUAAUAAUCCCAGAACACUCAGUUUAAAACAAAACAAAACAAGACCGAAUUGCCAGAUCACCACAGGAUGCAUUAACUUCUAGCUCCACCUGCUGGAGUCACAAAAUAUUUUAAAAAUCCAAUAUGCAAUACUAUGCAGCAAAUAAUUUAUCAUUUGUCCUCAAACAGACCAAAAAAAAAAAAACUUCAUGAAUUUAAGUUAGAAAAUUAAUCAAAUUUCAACCAUAUUCAAUUGUUUCCAAAAUGACAAAACUAAGUUAAAAACAAUACUUUAGUAGAAUUGAAGAUCUAAUCCAAUUGUCAAAGUGACUACACAAUAUUUUAAAAUUCUACUAAAAAAGCAUAAGCGUUAGAGAAGACUACAAGUGUGCUUUCAAACAGUGUGAAAACUUCAGAAUUAGAAUAGCCUCUGCUUAUUUACUUAGAAGAAAACAAUUUUAGCAAUGAGUUGUGAAAACUUUUACCUUAAUAUAACUUUGUCUUAUAAUAAAAAAGCAAUAUAUGUCCAUUGUAUAAAUUUUAUACAAUGUAAAUACCAAAAAAAUUAUAUCAUAUAAUCCUACUACCUUGAGAAAAACAGCUAUAUCCUUUGUAAUUACCCUUCAAGAUAUUUUUCUGUGUACCUAUAUAUACACGUACUUUAUUUUCUUUUUACAAAAGAGGCUAUGUAAAUAUGCUUGUUUCCAAUAUCUUUAUAUAUCAACAAAUGCUCCUCUACAUCAUUGUCUAAAAAGCAUUCUACUGCCUGAGUGGGGCCCGGCCCGUGAGCCGAGGGACACUCUAGGCUGCUGGUGAGGUUCGUCAGCGCCAGGGUUGGGCUGAGGGGCCGCAGUACCAUGAGGCACCAGUAUUUAAGAGAUUAUGGCAUCUGAAACCCACAAUGUUAACAAACAGAACUUUUGUGAUGAUAUUGAGGAUCAUUCCACUGAUUUUCCUAGAAAAAGGAUCUCUAAUUUCACUAAUAAGAACAUAAAGAGGUUAAGAAAUCUCCAAAAUAGUUGGCUGCUUACUAAAUAGAACAGUUGGACAAGCUGUGAAAAGCCCAGAUAAACUGCAUAAGGUGAUCUAUCACAGAAAGAAGGUUCAUGAUCCCUUUCCAAAUCCUUGUUACAGAAAAAAACAGUCCCCUCGAAGUGGGAGCCGUGACAUGGCAAAUAAAGAAAAUGAACUGGCUUGUGCAGGCCACUUGCCUGAAAAAUUACGCCAUGAUAGUGGAACAUACUUGAUUAACUCCAGUGAUUCUAGUUCUUCAUAAACAGAAAGCCCAUCAUCAAAAUAUAUUGGGGUUUUUUUCUGAGGUUUCUCAGGACCAUGAAACAAUGACUCAAGUUUUGUUCAGUAGGAAUUUGAGAUUGAAUGUAGCUUUAACUUUCUGGAGAAAGCUAAGUAUAAGUGAACUUGUAGCUUAUUUGGUGAGGAUAGAAGAUCUUGGAGUUGUGGUAGAUUGCCUUCCUGUGCUCACUAAUAGUUUACAGGAAGAAAAACAAUAUAUCUCACUUGGCUGCUGUGUAGACUUGUUGCCUCUAGUAAAGUCACUACUUAAAAGCAAAUUUGAAGAGUAUGUAAUAGUUGGUUUUAACUGGCUUCAAGCAGUCAUAAAAAGGUGGUGGUCAGAACUAUCAUCCAAAACAGAAAUUAUAAAUGAUUGAAAUAUUCAGAUAUUAAAACAACAAUUAAGUGGAUUAUGGGAACAGGAAAACCAUCUUACUUUGGUUCCAGGAUAUACUGGUAAUAUAGCUAAGGAUAUAGAUGCUUAUUUAUUACAGUUGCACUGAGAGAUUUCAUCUACUAAAGACCACUUGGUUGUUCAAAACAUCCCUGGAUUAUGAUUUACAAAAAAAAAGGUCUCCUCUGAGAACUGUGAACUGUGGAAGAAAUCAAAACCAUUUUUCCUUUUAAAAAGCCACGCAUUGAAACAACUAAUAAAACCCUAACAAUCUACUACUUCACAUUGAAGUGGAAAAAUAUCCAAAAGGAGCAGCUUCAACUUCAAUGAGGUGAAAGUACACUAUGAAGAUUGUUCACCUAUGCUGCAUUUGGGAUUUAUAUGGUUAUUCAGUAACACUGUUUAAGAGCUACUGGAUCUUAAUGCAAUCCUGCACAAGAAUAUAAUUUAUACUAUGUAAAAAAAUAAGACAGGACUUACUACUAGGAACAGCAAAGACCAAUCAUCAUUCACUUUUUUUAAGAUUGUGUUUCAUAAAAAAGCACAUAAAUGUGUGCAGCUAAUUUUCUUAUGUUGAAAAGACUAAAAGUUAAAAACAUCAUAGCAGAAAACAAUAUUAAAAAUUUUUGUCCACACUGACAUACUGUGUAUGCAAAAUGCCUUAAUUAUUAAUAAGCCAAUGUGUUAUGAUACUAAUAUCUGUUUAAAAAAUUAAAACUAACCAU
Microcebus murinus (gray mouse lemur) is the source of this 3200-nucleotide non-coding RNA. The record is from RefSeq and is a predicted model, not a curated record. Lineage: Eukaryota; Metazoa; Chordata; Mammalia; Primates; Cheirogaleidae.